RNAcentral lists this transfer RNA (77 nucleotides) under Chorda filum. Its description in RNAcentral is "tRNA-Tyr". It matches the Rfam family "tRNA". From Rfam's summary of the family: Transfer RNA (tRNA) molecules are approximately 80 nucleotides in length. Their secondary structure includes four short double-helical elements and three loops (D, anti-codon, and T loops). Lineage: Eukaryota; Phaeophyceae; Laminariales; Chordaceae. The record is from RNAcentral. RNAcentral also lists the same sequence under 1 other name.
GGAGGAGUCGUUAAUAGCGGCAGCAGAUUGUAGAUCUGUUGGUUUUUCCAUCGUAGGUUCGAAUCCUACCUCCUCCU